This 406-nucleotide ribosomal RNA is filed under the name uncultured bacterium. RNAcentral's name for it is "partial 16S ribosomal RNA". It matches the Rfam family "Bacterial small subunit ribosomal RNA", at positions 28 to 526 of the family's 1533-position model. The record is from RNAcentral.
GACGAACGCUGGCGGCAGGCCUAACACAUGCAAGUCGAACGAGUGGCGGACGGGUGAGUAAUGUCUGGGAAACUGCCUGAUGGAGGGGGAUAACUACUGGACACGGUAGCUAAUACCGCAUACCAUCGGAUGUGCCCAGAUGGGAUUAGCUAGUAGGUGGGGUAAAGGCUCACCUAGGCGACGAUCCCUAGCUGGUCUGAGCGGAUGACCAGCAACACGGGAAAUGAGAAACGGUCCAGACUCCUACGGGAGGCAGAAGGGGGGAAUAUUGCAAAAUGGGCGAAAGCCUGAUGAAGCUAUUCCGCGUGUAUGAAGAAGGCCUUCGGGUUGUAAAGUACUUUCAGCGGGGAGGCGUGACCCGCAGAAGAAGCACCGGCUAACUACGUGCCAGCAGCCGCGGUAAUUC